CGCGAAUGGCUCAUUACAACAGCUAUAAUUUACUUGAUCUUGACACAAUCCUACUUGGAUAACUGUGGUAAUUCUAGAGCUAAUACAUGCAUUAAAGCUCUGACCUCACGGGAAGAGUGCAUUUAUUAGAACAAAACCAAGCGGCUUCGGCUGUUUCUGGUUGACUCAUAGUAACUGAGCUGAUCGCAUGGUCUUGCACCGGCGACGUGUCUUUCAAGUAUCUGCCGUAUCAACUUUCGAUGGUAGUGUAUCUGACUACCAUGGUGAUCACGCGUAACGGAGAAUAAGGGUUCGGCUCCGGAGAGUUCGCCUGAGAAAUCGCGAACACAUCUAAGGAAGGCAGCAGGCGCGAAAAUUACCCACUCUCAGCACGAGGAGGUAGUGACGAAAAAUAACGAGACCGUUCUCUUAUGAGGCCGGUCAUCGGAAUGGGUACAAUUUAAACCCUUCAACGAGUAUCUAUGAGAGGGCAAGUCUGGUGCCAGCAGCCGCGGUAAUUCCAGCU
Molecule: ribosomal RNA, 505 nt
Filed under: Cervidellus vexilliger
Lineage: Eukaryota; Metazoa; Nematoda; Chromadorea; Rhabditida; Cephalobidae
Description: SSU rRNA
Rfam family: Eukaryotic small subunit ribosomal RNA
Source: RNAcentral